RNAcentral lists this long non-coding RNA (256 nucleotides) under Mytilus galloprovincialis (Mediterranean mussel). Lineage: Eukaryota; Metazoa; Mollusca; Bivalvia; Mytilida; Mytilidae. The record is from RNAcentral.
GUCAAUAUUAAAAAGACGUAUGAUUGCCCAUGAGAACUCAACAAGAGACCAUAUGACAUGAAAAUUAAUAACUAAAGGUUGCUGUUUGGCCUUGACAAUGAGCAAAGCCCAUACUGCUUAAUUGGCUAUAAAAGGCCCUUAAAUAAAUGUAAAUCAAUUCAAACAAGAAACCUAACAGCCUAAUUAAUAUUCAAUAUCAAAACAAAUAUCAAACAUGACAACCACUGAAUUAUAGGCUCCUGACUUGGGGACAGGC